This 484-nucleotide ribosomal RNA is filed under the name uncultured bacterium. Its description in RNAcentral is "partial 16S ribosomal RNA". It matches the Rfam family "Bacterial small subunit ribosomal RNA", at positions 29 to 507 of the family's 1533-position model. The record is from RNAcentral.
AUUGAACGCUGGCGGCAUGCCUAACACAUGCAAGUCGAACGGCAGCACGGGAGCAAUCCUGGUUGCGAGUGGCGAACGGGUGAGUAAUACAUCGGAACGUGCCCAGCAGUGGGGGAUAACCCGGCGAAAGCCGGACUAAUACCGCAUACGACCUACGGGUGAAAGCGUGGGAUCGCAAGACCUUGCGCUAUCGGAGCGUUCGAUGUCAGAUUAGCUAGUUGGUGGGGUAAAGGCCUACCAAGGCGACGAUCUGUAGCUGGUCUGAGAGGACGACCAGCCACACUGGGACUGAGACACGGCCCAGACUCCUACGGGAGGCAGCAGUGGGGAAUUUUGGACAAUGGGCGCAAGCCUGAUCCAGCCAUGCCGCGUGCGGGAAGAAGGCCUUCGGGUUGUAAACCGCUUUUGUCAGGGAAGAAACGCUCCGGGCUAAUACCACGGAGUAAUGACGGUACCUGAAGAAUAAGCACCGGCUAACUACGUG